This 19285-nucleotide long non-coding RNA is filed under the name Triticum aestivum (bread wheat). Its description in RNAcentral is "long non-coding RNA (TAES_LNC001983)". Lineage: Eukaryota; Viridiplantae; Streptophyta; Magnoliopsida; Poales; Poaceae. The record is from RNAcentral.
ACUCCCCUGCUCGACGUCCUCCAUUCCCGCGGGCACGGCCGCGUUCGUUGGCGGCCCAGGUCGCGGCACCGUCGUAGCUGCUCGUCGUCCUGCUCCUCGAUGUCGUCCUGCUCGUGGCUCUCCAUCCCCGCCGGCACCCACCAUGUUUUCCGGCGGCCAAGCUCGCGGCGCCACACCAUCUACCCUUGUCAUGCCGCUGCCCAUGGCAAUGCUCCUCGGCCACAUUCGCAGCGCUGCCGGCUUAUUGUACAGGCUUCAUACGCCCCUUGGCUCCGGCCAACCGUUUCGACGCUGCUGUGUCACCCUGGUCGCUUCUCGGCAAACAACAUCAACUAACAAGUUCCUGUAGAUUUUUGUGUGUGAUUUGAGCUGUAAAAGCCUGAACAAAGGCAACUAUUCUGUAUUUUCCUUUCUGAAUUUUAUUCUCUUACAAGACUGGCCUAUGUUGUAAACGAAUUUCUGUGUGAAUGAAAGCUUGUGGAAUUUGCAAUGUAUAGUUGUUCUUGUCCACUUUUCAUAUAAUGUGUUGCGACAUUUUCAGUGUAUUUGUGCUGUUGAACAUACUGAUCACUUGUUUCCUUCCAAUAACUGGAAAGGGACCAAGUAUAUGCACCCUUGUGUGUGUUGUACAACUGAUCAGUUCACAGAGACAAAAGAAACUUUGUAGAAACCAUUGUCAGGUGAAACACUAGCAUAUAACAACAGAAGAAAAUGAUAGCUUCAGUUUGUGUUGCAGCAAGUAAAUAGAACCAUUUGGCAUGAAUAAAACAAGAUUUGCAAUGCAUUUGCCCUGAUAAUCUGAUACGGUGUCAACUGUUGGCAUGAACAAACAUUCAUGGUUUGCUACAGAGGAAAAUGAUAGCUUCAGUUUUAUAUUGCAGUAAGUAAAUAGCACCAUUUGCCAGGUGAAAUACACACAUAGCAGCAGAAGAAAAUGAUAGCUUCAGGUGAAACACUAGCACAUAGCAGUAGAAGAAAAUGAUAGCUUCAGUUUAAUAGAAGAAAAUGAUAGAAUAUAUGUUUUUUGUCUCAUGCUGCUCAAUGGGUUUCACCUCUAGCCUAUCCCAACUUGUUUGGGACUAAAGGCUUUGUUGUUGUUGUUGUUGUUCUGCUCAACGGGUUCUAAUCCAGACAACUUCGUUUUGAUAGGUUUACUCUAUCCGGAGAAAUGAUGUCAUAUUACCGUUUUCAAUUGUGGGGCAUGCUUGUGAGAGGUUCUGUAUCAAGGGAACUGCACAUCCUCUACUCUCAUCUCUUGAGUCGGUCAAAGGACCUUGCAAUGGGAGUCUGCAAUGGCGGCGAAAGGUAUAAUUUUGACAAAAUUAUCUCUUCAAUCUUGGAAAAAUUGGUUAUGUAGCACCCAAAUAGGUCGCCUUUAGAAAGCUAGCACCAAAAUGUCUUGGUACACUUAAAUAACACUACAAAGGUUACACAUUUUAGUUGUUUAGCAUGGUGUCAUAUUCUCCAUCCAAGGCAGUUAUUUAGGACCAAUGUAUCCUUGUUUUAAUCAUACAGCUAGUAUAGAGGCACCACUCUUUCAAGCUUUGGAUGUUUCUUGGCUAACUGUGAUCCACAUUGAGUAAUUGUUCUUGUAUCCUAUCCUGUAGUUUUUUUGCACCAACAGUUGGAUCUUUCCUGAAGAUAUCCUCCCCCUUCGAAGCUUCCUUUCCUGUUACUUUACCAGUACUAGCACAAGUAUGCUCCAAUUAUGAAAUCACAAUUACCUUUUUUUCAAAAGGGGACAAAUCACAAUCACUUGCAUGAAAACCAAGCUAUAAGAUUGUGUGCUGAUAUGUGCUGAAAAUUUUCCCAAUUUUCCCUUUAAAUUUGUAGCCAUCACUUUCCCUUCAAAUUAGUAGCCACCUUAUUUUCCUUAUGAUUCCUUGAUUUUAAUAUCAUAGUACUAAUUAAUAAAUACUGUAAACAGGCUGAGGGUGAAGUUAACAGAAAUUGCCCGGAAGUAUAUGCUGGAACUUGUAACAAGUUUGAAAAUAAAGUUGACAGAAUGCAACAGGAAUUUAAUCCAGCAGCUCGAGUUAAAAUUUCUUGAAAUGCCCAAAAAGUAAUGUUCUCAAUCCCUUCCCUUUUAUAUCAUUAUUUAUUUAUGCAACUCAGUUCUAUUUUAGUGCUUAAUUAGAGACUACUGUAUAUAUGUUUUCAGGCAUGAAGAGCUAGAGGAUUGUUUUGGCGCUGCUUAGUGUGCAUGGUCAUGUUGAGGAGAAAAUCAUGACACCUUUGCCUGAUAAAUGCGCCUUGGUUCAGGCACUUGUCGAACAUGUGAUUAGCAACCAUAAAGCUGGGUACUCGUGGGAAGGUGAUUUUGGCUUAAAUGAUAUGGAUGCCUACGAUGGCAAGGUGGUCAUCACAAAAAGUCCGAAGUUAUUUGAUAUACAGCCUAAAAUAUCGCCCGAGAUGGUCACUGCAAUGGAGAAGGAUUUUAAAAGUAUUGCAACAGAAGUGGUGCAAAAAUUCAUGCAAUCUCAGAUUUACGUUCCUUAUUUGUCACCUUUUCAUGCUUUCUUGAGUAGCAUGGGACUAUAUGCUACCUGGUGGUCGGACCGACUCAAGACAAAGAAUUUGCGAGAAUUGAUACUCCAUUAUCCCUUUCUCAAGCCUUCAAGGGCUCGUUUGAAUUUGCUGGUAGGCAUCUUUGAUGCAUGGAGAUCGUUCGAUAAGAAUGAUACAAGUCCUUUACUUAAGAAGAUCAUCAGCUCUGUCGAAGGAUCUUUCUGGUUAUGGAAGAUGAAUGCGGUUGAAAAUCAAAUCAUUAUUGAUGUUUUCCGGUACAAAGGUGCUGCAUAUUAUGAAGACGGGCUACAGUACGUGAUUGAAUUAUUGAGGCAUCUUGCAGUACAUGGCACUGAGAAAUCCUUUGACUGCCAUGUUGAUGGCCCCCGCAAGCAACUGGUACAAAAUCUCGAUGAACUGGAGGUCGGAGGUGCUUAUUAUCUCGAAGAGUUUGUGAUGCUUGCCUUAUCUCGAGUGUUCAUCAGAACGUUCGAAGGAACUUGCAAGCGACCAGCUGGAUUGACAGAGUUGCAAGUCUGCGUGCAGAAGGCUAAUGAGACUCUCAGAGAGUAUAUUCAGAGGUGGAUCACUUUGCACCACACUGUGGAGAAUGUGUCUGAUCAUCAGGCAGUCUGCGCCUUCAAAGAUGGCGUCAAGAACAGAGAACUGAGUUUGAAGUUUGGUCGAACCGGUGACAUGACCUUGAGUCGGAUGAUGGAGAUUGCUACCAAGUACGCCAACGGCGAAGAAGAAGACCGACUCCGAAGCGGCAAGCACAAGCCGAGUCAGUCGGAAAAAGGAAACACCAGUCGGAAACAGAAGCGGAAGGCUGAACCGGCAGCUCCUGGAGAGGCUCUGGCCGUGACUCAAGGAAAGUUUAAGGGGAAACCAAAAGGAUCCUGGAACCCCAAGAAGGUAAAGGAUAAAGAAGGGAACAACGUAAUGGAUAUGCCAUGUCACAUCCAUACGAAGAAAGACGAAGAGGGGAAUAUCAUCUUCCCGAAGCACACCACUCGCCAAUGUCGACUCCUGAUCCAGCAGUUUCAGGGAAAACAGUCUAAGGACAAGGAGAAGGAGUCAGACAAGGCCGAAGACAAGGAGGACAGUGAGGAAGGAUAUCCACAUAUCAACUCCACUCUGAUGAUCUUUGCAGAUGUGGAAAGCAGGAGUCGACUGAAAGUCAUUAACCGAGAGGUGAACAUGGUUGCCCCAGCAAAAGCAAAUUAUCUGAAAUGGUCUCAAACACCCAUCACAUUCGACCAAUCUGAUCACCCGACUCAUAUUGCCACCCCUGGGAGGCAAGCUUUGGUGGUCGAUCCAGUUGUCGAAGGCACUCGACUGACAAAGGUGCUGAUGGAUGGUGGAAGCGGGCUGAAUUUGUUGUAUGCAGACACACUGAAAGGAAUGGGCAUUCCGAUGUCCCGACUGAGCACUAGUAACAUGCGUUUUCAUGGAGUUAUACCAGGGAAGAAGGCCGAGUCACUCGGCCAAAUAGCUUUGGAUGUGGUGUUUGGUGAUUCGAAGCAUUUUCGCAAAGAAAAGUUGACGUUUGAGGUCGUGGAUUUUCAGAGUGCAUAUCAUGCCAUUUUGGGGAGACCAGCUUACGCACGGUUCAUGGCUCGACCAUGCUACGUGUACCUCAAAUUGAAGAUGCCCGGCCCCAAAGGAGUGAUCACUGUCACCGGUGAUCGGAAAAAGGCAGAAGAGUGCUUUCAGAAGAGCUCCAAGAUUGCCGAUUCCCAGGUGACAGCGGUCGAGUUCGAAGAAUACAAGCAAAACGCAGAUCCGAGUACUUGCUGCGAUCAAAGAAACCCGCCACAGAGUCUGCAUUCCAGUCGUCCGGUGAGACGAAGCCUGUUCACAUUCACCCGACCGACCCCGAUGCAGCUCCGACCCGCAUCUCCACAACACUCGACCCAAAAUAGGAAGAAGCGCUCAUCCAGUUCCUCCGUGAGAACUGGGACAUUUUUGCAUGGAAGCCCGCUGACAUGCCAGGUGUUCCCAGGGGACUGGCUGAGCAUCGCCUAAGAGUCGACUCAUCUGCAAAACCAGUCAAAGAGCAUCUUCGGCGGUCCGCCGUCCAGAAGAGAAAGGCCAUUGGUGAAGAAGUGGCUCGACUGUUGGCGGCAGGAUUUAUCCGAGAGAUAUACCACUCCGAGUGGCUCGCUAAUGUCGUCAUGGUUCCUAAGAAGGACAAGUCGCUCCGAAUGUGCAUUGAUUUCAAGCACAUCAACCGGGCCUGCCCGAAAGAUCAUUUUCCUCUCCCUCGCAUAGAUCAAAUUGUUGACUCGACCGCGGGAUGCGAGAGGCUAUCUUUUUUAGAUGCCUACUCCGGGUACCACCAGAUCCGUCUGUACGGACCCGACGAGGUAAAAACAGCUUUCAUCACUCCAUUCGGGUGCUUCUGCUAUAUCACCAUGCCAUUCGGCCUCAAGAAUGCCGGAGCCACAUUUAGGCGAAUGAUUCAGAAGUGUCUACUCACUCAAAUCAGUCGGAAUGUGGAAGCAUAUAUGGAUGAUAUCGUUGUCAAGUCACGAAAAGGUUCCGACCUGCUCGCUGACCUCGCCGAAACAUUUGCCAACCUCAGAAGGUAUGAUAUCAAGCUCAAUCCAUCAAAGUGCACAUUUGGAGUUCCUGGUGGCAAGUUACUCGGUUUUCUCGUUUCCGAACGGGGAAUCGACGCUAACCCAGAGAAGAUUGGCACUAUUCUCCGAAUGAAACACCCUGUGCGAGUGCACGAUGUCCAGAAGCUUACUGGAUGCUUGGCCGCAUUAAGUCGAUUCAUCUCACGACUCGGUGAAAAGGCAUUGCCUCUUUACCGACUGAUGAAGAAGAAAGACAAGUUCGAGUGGACUCCAGAAGCUGAUGCAGCGUUUGCCGAGCUAAAAGCUCUGCUCUCCACCCAGCCGGUGCUUGCUGCUCCAAUCAGCAAAGAGCCUCUGUUGCUCUAUAUCGCAGCCACAUGACAAGUCGUCAGUACUGUGCUUACGGUCGAGCGGGAAGAAGAAGGAAAAGCUCUCAAAGUUCAGCGCCCAGUGUAUUAUUUGUCUGAAGUCUUGACCCCAUCCAAGCAGAGAUAUCCUCAUUAUCAGAAGCUUGUGUAUGGAAUAUACAUGACCACAAAGAAGGUUGCUCAUUAUUUUUCUGAUCAUUCCAUUACAGUCGUCAGCGACGCUCCACUAUCAGAGAUUUUGCACAACAGAGAUGCAACUAGUCGAGUGGCCAAAUGGGCGAUUGAACUUCUUCCCCUUGAUAUCAAGUUUGAGGCAAAGAAAGCCAUUAAGUCCCAGGCAAUAGCAGAUUUCCUCGCCGAGUGGAUUGAACAGCAGCAGCUGACUGAAGUUCACUCGGAGCAUUGGACCAUGUUCUUUGAUGGCUCUAAGAUGUUGAAUGGUUCCGGUGCUGGGGUUGUCCUGGUUUCCCCCAGAGGAGAUAAGCUCAGAUAUGUGCUCCAGAUUCACUUUGAUUCGUCCAACAAUGAGGCAGAAUAUGAGGCCCUCUUAUAUGGGUUGCGCAUGGCCAUUUCACUCGGCGUCCGUCGCCUGAUGGUCUAUGGCGACUCGGAUUUAGUGGUCAACCAGGUGAUGAAAGAGUGGGACGUGAGAAGCCCAGCUAUGACUGGAUACUACAGUGCAGUGAGGAAGUUGGAAAAGAAGUUCGAGGGGUUGGAGCUCCAUCAUAUACCCCGACUGAAAAAUCAAGCAGCUGAUGAUCUAGCAAAGAUAGGUUCCAAGAGAGAAGCCAUUCCGAGUGGUGUGUUCUUGGAGCAUAUACACACUCCGUCAGUCAAAGAAGAUCCUUUCACCGAAGAAACUCCACAGCCCAAGAGUGCCACAGAUCCGACUGAAGUUGAAGUCCCAGCAGUGGUCGACUUGAUCAUGGAGGUUUUGGUGGUCAUUCCCGACUGGACGGUUCCGUAUGUCGCAUAUAUCCUGAGAAAAGAGCUUCCGGAGGAUGAGGAAGAGGCUCGACAGAUCGUCCGUCGAUCUAAGGCCUUUACCGUAAUCAAAGGACAAUUAUACAGAGAAAGCGCGACUGGAGUUGGUCAGAAAUGCAUAACACCAGAAGAAGGUCGACUCGUCCUCAAUGAUAUUCACUCGGGGACCUGUGGUCAUCAUGCGUCCUCUCGGACCAUCGUGGCCAAAGCAUACCGAGCCGGAUUUUACUGGCCAAAAGCGAAUGAGAUGGCAAAAGAUAUAGUGGAUAAGUGCGAGGGAUGUCAGUUCUACUCGAAUAUGUUGCACAAGCCUGCGUCGGUCCUGAAGACCAUCCCACUCGUCUGGCCUUUCGCAGUAUGGGGACUGGACAUGGUCGGUCCUUUGAGAACAGGACGAAGUGGCUUCACGCAUGUACUGGUGGCAGUCGACAAGUUCACCAAGUGGAUCGAGGCUAAACCAAUCAAGAGCCUUGACACCGGUACUGCUGUUAGCUUCAUCAAGGAACUAAUAUUCAGAUAUGGAGUCCCGCACAGCAUCAUUACGGAUAAUGGGUCGAACUUUGACUCAGAGGAAUUCAGAGCUUUCUGCAACUCCCAGGGCACACGGGUCGACUACGCUUCAGUCGCCCAUCCGCAGUCGAAUGGACAAGCAGAGCGAGCUAACGGACUGAUUCUUAAGGGAUUGAAGCCUCGACUGAUGCGUGAUCUCAAACACGCGGCUGGAGCUUGGGUCGACGAACUUCCCUCAGUGCUCUGGGGGCUGCGGACCACACCUAAUCGGUCGACCGGAAGAACUCCAUUCUUCUUGGUCUACGGAGCUGAAGCAGUCUUGCCGAGUGAUCUUCUCCACAAUGCUCCUCGAGUUGAAAUCUACAACGAAGUAGAGGCUGAACAAGCGCGGCAGGACGCAGUCGACCUUUUAGAGUAAGAAAGGGAGAUGGCUCUGAUCCGUUCGACCAUCUACCAACAAGAUUUGCAUCGUUUCUACGCCAGAAACGUGAGAGGUCGAGCCUUCCAGGAAGGGGAUUUAGUUCUCCGAGUGGAUCAGCACAAACCACACAAGCUUGCUCCUUCUUGGGAAGGCCCCUUCAUCGUCACCAAGGUCCUCCACAACGGAGCGUACCGUCUUUACAACGUCGAGCAUAAUAUCGACGAGCCCCGAGCUUGGAACGCGGAGCUGUUUUAUCACUCGGAUGAGUUGCAAUAAAGUACUUCUGUAGUUCAUGGACCUCAAAAUAAUAGUGUCAUAGUUCCUCCAUAAUUUCUGUCACUUUUUAUUUUUGUCCAAUAAAAUUCCCACCCAGUGGGUGACUUAGCUGCGAAUCCGUUUCGUCUAAGUUUGUAAAAAUCCUACCGAGUGGUGAGCCAGACUCCCACUCGGAGGCUUAGCCGCGAAUCCGUUUCGCCUAAGUUAUCAAAAUCCUACCGAGUGAAGAGCGAACCUCUCACUCGGGGGCUUAGCUGCAGUCCAAGCACUCGCCUAAGUUAUCAAAAUCCUACCGAGUAGUAAGCCAGACUUCCACUCGGGGGCUUAGCUGCAGCCCUGUGCUCGCCUAAGUUGUAAAAAUCCUACCGAGUGAAGAGCAACCCUCUCACUCGGGGGCUUAGCUGCAGCCCUGUGCUCGCCUAAGUUAUCUAAAUCCUACCGAGUGAAGAGCAACCCUCUCACUCGGGGGCUUAGUUGCAGUCCAAGCACUCGCCUAAGUUAUAAAAAUCCUACCGAGUGAAGAGCAACCCUCUCACUCGGAGGCUUAGCUGCAGCCCUGUGCUUGCCUAAGUUGUAAAAAUCCUACCGAGUGAAGAGCAACCCUCUCACNNNNNNNNNNCCUCGAGUUGAAAUCUACAACGAAGCAGAGGCUGAACAAGCGCGGCAGGACGCAGUCGACCUUUUAGAGGAAGAAAGGGAGAUGGCUCUGAUCCGGUCGACCAUCUACCAACAAGAUUUGCGUCGUUUCCACGCCAGAAAUGUGAGAGGUCGAGCCUUCCAGGAAGGGGAUUUAGUUCUCCGAGUGGAUCAGCACAAACCACACAAGCUUGCUCCUUCUUGGGAAGGCCCCUUCAUCGUCACCAAGGUCCUCCACAACGGGGCGUAUCGUCUUUACAACGUCGAGCAUAAUAUCGACGAGCCCCGAGCUUGGAACGCGGAGCUACUCCGCCCAUUUUACACUUAAGUUUUAUCACUCGGAUGAGUUGCAAUAAAGUACUUCUGUAGCUCAUGGACCUCAAAAUAAUAGUGUCAUAGUUCCUCCAUAAUUUCUGUCACUUUUUAUUUUCGUCCACAUAAAAUUCCCCCUCAGUGGGUGACUUAGCCGCGAAUCUGUUUCGCCUAAGUUUGUAAAAAUCCUACCGAGUGGUGAGCCAGACUCUCACUCGGAGGCUUAGCUGCGAAUCCGUUUCGCCUAAGUUAUCAAAAUCCUACCGAGUGGUAAGCCAGACUUCAACUCGGAGGCUUAGCUGCAGCCCUGUGCUCGCCUAAGUUAUAAAAAUCCUACCGAGUGGUAAGCCAGACUUCCACUCGGAGGCUUAGCUGCAGCCCUGUGCUCGCCUAAGUUAUAAAAAUCCUACCGAGUGGAGAGCAACCCUCUCACUCGGGGGCUUAGCUGCAGCCCUGUGCUCGCCUAAGUUGUAAAAAUCCUACCGAGUGAAGAGCAACCCUCUCACUCGGGGGCUUAGCUGCAGUCCAAGCACUCGCCUAAGUUAUAAAAAUCCUACCGAGUGAAGAGCAACCCUCUCACUCAGGGGCUUAGCUGCAGUCCAAGCACUCGCCNNNNNNNNNNUAAGUUGUAAAAAUCCUACCGAGUGAAGAGCAACCCUCUCACUCGGGGGCUUAGCUGCAGCCCUGUGCUCGCCUAAGUUGUAAAAAUCCUACCGAGUGAAGAGCAACCCUCUCACUCGGGGGCUUAGCUGCAGUCCAAGCACUCGCCUAAGUUAUAAAAAUCCUACCGAGUGAAGAGCAACCCUCUCACUCGGAGGCUUAGCUGCAGCCCUGUGCUUGCAUAAGUUACAAAAAUCCUACCGAGUGAAGAGCGACCCUCUCACUCGGAGGCUUAGCUGCAGCCCGGUGCUCGCCUAAGUUAUAGAAAUCCUACCGAGUGGUAAGCCGGGCUUCCACUCGGAGGCUUAGCCGCAGCCCAGUGCUCACCUAAGUGGACUAAAGAAUAAGUCGAUUGCGGUAAAGGCGCCUUGCUUUGAACCUGCAAAAUACAUUUCGAUCCAAAGGCAAUCAUGUUCAAGCACCAAAUUCAAGUUUGAAUCGAUAUCUGAAGGAACCGAAAGUGCUCAGGCAUUAAGCCUGUUAAGGUUUAUCGGCUACAAUUCCACUCGGCAUACCGAGGCAAAUUUAAAAGCGUCGAGCCAGAAGAAGUGUUUUACCCCUCCUGUGGAGGGCUGGAAGGUGCAACGAAUUCAUCAAGGUCAAUUCCGUCGGUGAUCCGAGUGGCAGCUGCAAGGAAGGUUUCCAUAAAGGACCUGAAGUCGUGCUUCUUGGUAUUGGCCACCCGAAGGGCCGCCAGCUUCUCUUCUCGCGCAUCUUUACAAUGGACUCGGGCCAGACAUAGAGCAACAUCUGCACCACACCGAGCCGAGGACUUCUUCCAUUCCUGCACUCGACCAGGGAUCGAGUUCAAGCGGGCCAUCAGCGACUCAAGGUCAUUCUGAAGUGUCUCCUCAGGCCAGAGCAUCGAGUCGAUGCGAGAUGUGGCGGCCUUCAGCCUUGCGAGAUAGUCCACGACAGCUGCAACACGAGACUCCAGUCGGAAAACAUCCAUGGCAACUUCGUCGUUCACCGGAGAAUUGACGGGGUCGAGGUUUGGCUCCAGCCGGCUAGUUUCUUCUUCAAAGUUUUGACAAAAUUCUGCAAGGUUGAUCACUAAGUCAAGGGGAUGGUCGAAUGGAAAAAACCACAAUUGGAAAUGUUUGCCAAGCAUAGAGGUUUACCUUAAAGCAUAAGAAACAGCUUCUUAGCAAGGCCACUCAGGAAGGCCUCCAGAUCAGUUUUCUUCCCAGUCAAUUUGCUGACUUGGUCGGUCAGGGCAGCUUUAUCGGUUUUCAGUCGACUGACCUCCUUGUUGGCAAUCCCAAGAGCAGCUUUCAGAUUGGUAUUGUCUUGUUCAAGCUUGGUGACUGAAGCUAACUUCUCGUCAGCAAGCUUGAUCUUCUCAGCUAGCUCAAGGUCUUUCUUCUGUUGGGCCUCCCUUACCUUACCUGCAAGUUACAGCAAGAUCAGAUUUUGAAACAAGCAAGGGGAAAAGCAGUCGUCAGGGUCUCACCAAACAUACCUUCGGUAUCCUCCUUUGCCUUCGUCAGCUUCUCCUGAACCAGCUUCAAGCUCAGCUCGAGUUGAGUAUGCUUGUGUUCCAGCUCAGAGUAGCGAGCCACAAGAUCACAAGAGUUCUGCGAAGAACCAAUCGACUAAAUGUCAAAUAUAAUUCACUUCCGAGUGAAAAAGGAAAAAACACACGUUUCUAAGACUACAGCCGAAUACAAGCAGUCGACCGUAGUCUCGGGGACUACACCCAGUGGGUGCACUCAGCGUGCCCCCACUGAUUCUGUUGAAGACAAAGUCGACCAGUCGACCUCAAAAAAAAAGAAGAAGAGCGAGAUGCAUUCUCUAAGACUGUGAUCAACUGCAAGCAGUCGACCACAGUCUCGGGGACUACACCCAGUGGGUGCACUCAGCGUGCCCCCACCAGUUUGUGAAAUCCAGUCGACAUAGUCGACUGACAGAAAAAUUGACAUCAUAAAGCCUAAGGCCGACUGCCAGCAGUCGACCUUAGCCUUGGGGACUACACCCAGUGGGUGCACUCAGCGUGCCCCCACCGGUUUGUGAAAUCCAGUCGACAUAGUCGACUGACAGAAAAAUUGACAUCAUAAAGCCUAAGGCCGACUGCCAGCAGUCGACCUUAGCCUUGGGGACUACACCCAGCGGGUGCACUCAGCGUGCCCCCGCUAAUACGGAGUCUAAUCGACAACACCCAGUGGGUGACUACUAUAAAUUCCGGAAAGGAAAAGUUUUUGGCAGCAUAUCCAACAGAACAAACUGUGGUCGACUGACCUGAACAUUGCUCUGGAGGGCAGAACUGGCGUCAUAAGCUGCCUGGCUCGCGUCCCGGAUGGUCUUCAACUGCUCCAUCAUGAUUCCCGCCUGGCGUAUGGCUUCCUUCGCCGCGCCAGCUUGGUCCUCUGGGACGUGGUGCGUCGUGAAGAGGGAGGGCUGCGGAGCACUCGUCAAUGGAUUCGCGAAGGACACUGUGUGUCGAGUGGUGUUCUCUUCCUCCGCAAUCAGAAUCUCAGGCGCCGUCACAUCCUGGGGCACCUUACUGGCGGACGCUUUCCUACUCCUCCUGCGCUUCAGUGGUUCUUCAUCCUCAUCAUCAUCAGGGAGAUUGAUAACAGUAUUGGGUGGAGCUACGGAGAAGAAUCAGGAUCAGAGAUCGCAAGUCAGUCGACUAAGAACGGCGUUAAGAAUACAGUACCUGGGUUCGAAGUCGCUGCGUCCUCCAUCUCGUGGUCAUCAGCCCGGGCUGAGGUUUCAGAAGUAGCAGCACUGCAACUCCAAAGGAUCAGUCGACUAACUUCAGCGUCGACCAGAGACAAAGUUCGCACAAAAUAAGAAGACUUAAGCAGCACGAUUACCCUGAUAUGGUGGGGAUGGACACCUUCAUCUUCGGCAGGAGCUUGGUCGGCUUCGACGAGGCCGCCCUGGGCUGCUUCGGCGCCUUUUCAGUCGGCACCGGAGAGGUGGUCCGAGGGCGCUUGGUCGACUGAACAACGGUCGCAACCCCCUUGCCACGUUCAGACGAAGGGUCGUGGACAAGCUUCGACCGCCUUUCUGAGCGCGGUGGUACGACCUCCUCCUCCUCUUCUUCCUCGUCCUCAACGUCAUCGUCAUCGCCGUCGUCAUCAUCAUCGUCGUCGUCAUCCCCUGCAAUGUCCGAGUCCCACUCCUCCUCUUCCUGGCUCUCGCCCCCGCUCGCCUCACCCUCCUCAGUCGGAGCUUGUGCCCCAUUGGGCAUCGAGUACAGCUCGGUGAGAGCCUGGCAGAUAUCAAGACAAGGAUCAGUCGACCAGUCGGCAGGAUAAACGGAGAUGAAUGCGACAAGAACACAGUGGAGAGCAGAGCAAGUGUACCUUGUUUGGAUCGCUGUUGUGGUCGAGUGGAGGAAUCCUUCUGGCUCCACGUGGGUUAUCCUUAUUUCCGGUAACGGCUACCAUCCAUCUUUCCAGAGUGACGUCGUCGACUGCUUCUGGAUGGACUCUAGUCUCGUCUUCAGUCCCACAGUACAACCACAUGCAGUGGCUCCGGAACUGAAGGGGCUGGAUGCGACGCCUGAGGAAGACCUCCAGGAGGUCCAUGCCCGUCACUCCCUCCCGAACCAACUGCACCACGCGCUCCAUCAACAUCUUCAUGUCAGCUUUCUCCUCCGGAAUCAACUUCAGAGAGGAGGGCUUGUUCACUCGGUCCAUGGUAAACUGUGGGAGUCCACUCGGCUGUCCCGGCGUCGACUGGUCCCGGCAGUAGAACCAGGUCGACUGCCAGCCUCUGAUUGACUCGGGAAAGGUCAUGGGUGGGAAGGUGCUCUUAUUCCUCACCUGGAUCCCCAGACCCCCACACAUUUGGACGACUCGGGUUCUCUCAUCACCUGGGCUCGCCUUCUUCACGGUCUAAGAGCGACACGUGAAUAUAUGCUUGAACAAACCCCAGUGCGGUCGACAGCCCAGGAAACCCUCACACAUGGACACGAACGCGGCAAGAUAGGCAAUAGAGUUUGGGGUAAAGUGGUGGAGCUGCGCUCCAAAGAAAUUCAAGAAGCCACGGAAGAAAACACUCGGCGGCAAGGAAAAUCCACGAUCAACAUGGGUGGCCAAGAGCACACACUCACCCUCUUCUGGCUGGGGCUGCCACUCCUUCCCCGGAAGCCUCGCAGCUCCAUGAGGGAUCAAGCCCUCGUUGGCCAUGUCGAGGAGGUCAUUCUCUGUGAUGGUCGACUGGAUCCAGUCCCCUUGUACCCAGCCCUUCGGCAGGCGGGAUCUGGACGAGGACCCGCCGCGGCUGGUGGAUCUCCCCUUUGCCUUCUCCGACGCCGACGCCUUCUUCGCACGUUCCAGCGCCGCCGUCUUCUCCUUGGCCAUGGUUGCCGGCGAGAUGCGCGAAGGGAAGUGGUGCGGGGGCGAGAGCGAGCACGCUGGGCGGGGAAGAAGGAAGCAGAGAGAGAGAGAAAAUGCUGAGGCACAGUACAGAAAUCCUCGCCGGGCGCAUUUAUAAGGUCCCUUCCGAGUGGGUGACAGGUGGGCCCGGUCGAUCUAAUCAUAUCUGGGAGCAGUUAUGCAGACGGGAUACAUGGCAAAAAAAGCGGCGCGGAGAUCGAGGCGUCUAUGUCCCGUCCCAUCCGAACGCUGCGGUCCGCUCCACUUUUCGCGUGUCCCCAAAUUUCGCAUCCCGCGGAAUCCGCAAACGGCAGAUCAGUCUGUCAGACGCGGGGUUUCCCGCGAUCCGUCGCUCGGGGAUCGUCGAAGCCCGAAAGAUCACUCGACGAAAGAAGAGAAUGAAUCGAGUCGACUGAAGACAAGUUGCUCACCAUCGACGAAGAGAUUCUUUGGUCCAGAACAAUGCACGACCAGAGCGCAAAGAUUAAUCGGAAACGACAUCAAAUCCUUCCUCACUCGAAGCCUCGAUCCAUUCGGGGGCUAAUGAUGGGGUCAUGUACCUAGGGUAGGGUCACGAACCUGAUCUAAGUACCUUACCCAAGGACACCCUUAGAAGAGGUCGCCUUCCAGUCGACCAACGAGGGACUCACUCGACUGACUUGAAGGACUCGACCACGAAGACUCACUCUACCACCAGGAGGUCAAGAGGCACUCCGCACUGCAACGGCCUGUAAUUAAGUAGGCUUUAUGAUAGUAAAGACACUUUAUGUGGGGUGUUACCAGUAACGCCCCGGACUUAACUCACCUUAAACCCUCUCCUACGUGGGCUGGCUGGGGUCCUGGCGCACUCUAUAUAAGCCACCCCCUCCACAGGCAGAGGGGUUCGGCAUCUUGUAACUCACAUACUCAUAAUCCACUCGACCGCCUUCGGGCUCCGAGACGUAGGGAUAUUACUUCUUCCGAGAAGGGCCUGAACUCAUACAUCCCUUGUGUUUACAACCUCUCCAUAGCUAGGACCUUGCCUCUCCAUACCUACCCCCCACUCUACUGUCAGGCUUAGAACCACGACAGCUUACAUAUUAGGCAUAAAGAUCUAUAGAGAUAGAUCAAGACGCUUAAUUGGACUUUCACAAAGCACAUACCUUGACAAGAUUUUGAAGAAGUUCAAAAUGGAUCAAGCAAAGAAAGGGUUCUUGCCUGUGUUACAAGGUGUGAAGUUGAGUCAGACUCAAUGCCCGACCACUGCAGAAGAUAGAGAGAAAAUGAAAGAUGUUCCCUAUGCUUCAGCCAUAGGCUCUAUCAUGUAUGCAAUGCUGUGUACCAGACCAGAUGUGUGCCUUGCUAUAAGUUUAGCAGGGAGGUACCAAAGUAAUCCAGGAGUGGAUCACUGGACAGCAGUCAAGAACAUCCUGAAAUACCUGAAAAGGACUAAGGAUAUGUUUCUCGUAUAUGGAGGUGACAAAGAGCUCAUUGUAAACGGUUACGCUGAUGCAAGAUUUGACACUGAUCCGGACGAUUCUAAAUCGCAAACCGGAUACGUGUUUACAUUAAACGGUGGAGCUGUCAGUUGGUGCAGUUCUAAACAAAGCGUUGUGGCGGGAUCUACAUGUGAAGUGGAGUACAUAGCUGCUUCGGAAGCAGCGAAAGAAGGAGUCUGGAUGAAGGAGUUCAUAUCCGAUCUAGGCGUCAUACCUAGUGCAUCGGGUCCAAUGAAAAUCUUUUGUGACAAUACUGGUGCAAUUGCUUUGGCAAAGGAAUCCAGAUUUCACAAGAGAACCAAGCACAUCAAGAGACGCUUCAAUUCCAUCCGGGAUCUAGUCUAGGUGGGAGACAUAGAGAUUUGCAAGAUACAUACGGAUCUGAAUGUUGCAGACCCGUUGACUAAGCCUCUUCCACGAGCAAAACAUGAUCAGCACCAAGGCUCCAUGGGUGUUAGAAUCAUUACAGUGUAAUCUAGAUUAUUGACUCUAGUGCAAGUGGGAUACUGAAGGAAAUAUGCCCUAGAGGCAAUAAUAAAGUUAUUAUUUAUUUCCUUACAUCAUGAUAAAUGUUUAUUAUUCAUGCUAGAAUUGUAUUAACCGGAAACAUAAUACAUGUGUGAAUACAUAGACAAACAGAGUGUCACUAGUAUGCCUCUACUUGACUAGCUCGUUAAUCAAAGAUGGUUAUGUUUCCUAACCAUGAACAAAGAGUUGUUAUUUGAUUAACGAGGUCACAUCAUUAGUUGAAUGAUCUGAUUGACAUGACCCAUUCCAUUAGCUUAGCACCCGAUCGUUUAGUAUGUUGUUGUUGCUUUCUUCAUGACUUAUACAUGUUCCUAUGAGUAUGAGAUUAUGCAACUCCCGUUUACCGGAGGAACACUUUGUGUGCUACCAAACGUCACAACGUAACUGGGUGAUUAUAAAGGUGCUCUACAGGUGUCUCCAAAGGUAGAUGUUGGGUUGGCGUAUUUCGAGAUUAGGAUUUGUCACUCCGAUUGUCGGAGAGGUAUCUCUGGGCCCUCUCGGUAAUGCACAUCACAUAAGCCUUGCAAGCAUUACAACUAAUGAGUUAGUUGAGAGAUGAUGUAUUACGGAACGAGUAAAGAGACUUGCCGGCAAUGAGAUUGAACUAGGUAUUGGAUACCGAUGAUCGAAUCUCGGGCAAGUAACAUACCGAUGACAAAGGGAACAACGUAUGUUAUUAUGCGGUCUGACCGAUAAAGAUCUUCGUAGAAUAUGUAGGAGCAAAUAUGGGCAUCCAGGUCCCGCUAUUGGUUAUUGACCGGAGACGUGUCUCGGUCAUGUCUACAUUGUUCUCGAACCGUAGGGUCCACACGCUUAACGUUACGAUGACAGUUAUUAUGAGUUUAUGCAUUUUGAUGUACCGAAGUUAGUUCGGAGUCCCGGAUGUGAUCACGGACAUGACGAGGAGUCUCGAAAUGGUCGAGACAUAAAGAUUGAUAUAUUGGAUGACUAUAUUCGGACACCGGAAGGGUUCCGGAGUAUUAUCGGAUAAAACCGGAGCACCGGGGGGGGGGGGGUUACCGGAACCCCCCGGGGGGUUAAUGGGCCUCAUGGGCCUAAUGUGGAGAAGAGGAAGGGGCUGCCAGGGCAGGCCGCGCGCCCCCUCUCCCCCUAGUCCGAAUUGGACAAGGAGGGAGGGGCGGCGCCCCCCCUUUCCUAUUCUCCCUCCACCUCUCCUAGUUGGACAAGGAAUAGGAGGGGAGUCCUACUCCCGGUAGGAGUAGGACUCCUCCUGCGCGCCUCCAUAGGGCCGGCCGCACCCCCCCUUGGAUCCUUUAUAUACGGAGGCAAGGGGGCACCCUAGGACACACAAGUUGAUCCACGUGAUUGUUCCUUAGCCGUGUGCGGUGCCCCCUUCCACCAUAUUCCACCUCGUUCAUAUCGUUGUAGUGCUUAGGCGAAGCCCUGCGUCGGUAGUACAUCAUCAUCGUCACCACGCCGUUGUGCUGACGGAACUCAUCCCCGAAGCUUUGCUGGAUCGGAGCCCGGGGAGCGUCAUCGAGCUGUACGUGUGCUAAGAACUCGGAGGUGCCGGAGUAACGGUGCUUGGAUCGGUCGGAUCGGGAAGACGUACGACUACUUCCUCUACGUUGUGUCAACGCUUCCGCUUCGGUCUACGAGGGUACGUAGACAACACUCUCCCCUCUCGUUGCUAUGCAUCACCAUGAUCUUGCGUGUGCGUAGGAAAAUUUUGAAAUUACUACGUUCCCCAACAUUAAUCCCCGAGGGUAUGGAGGGCGUGGAGCACCCAAACCCAUUCGCCUUUGAAGUGAUCCUGAGCGAUGCCAGUUCCAAAGACUCCAGAGGUGAGGAGGAGCUUGACGGCGUGGCCAACGAGGAGGCCCCGAAGGGGGAUGAAAUGGUGGAGCCUCCGCCAAUGGCGAAGAAAUGCGGGAAGGCUUUGGCGGCGGAGUAAUCGGCCCGGAAGGCAGCAAAUGGUGCCGCCUAGUCAAGAUCAUUGGUAUGGGUAGGUUAGUUGUCCGCUUGUAGAUGAUGUCAUAUGACGCCGACUCGUCCUUGGCCCGGCGUCCGAUCUUGACACCAUGGUAGUGCGGGGGCGACGCCGUCUCAUCCUUGACACGGUGUCCGAUCUGGACGCCGCGGUUGCGCUUGGGUGAUGCUGACUCAUCCUUGACUCGCUGGAGCGGGGACGAUGGCCGGAGUUGGUUUCUCGGGGUGCGGUGUCUGCAUUGAAGCGGCGACGCCCGAGAGGUCACGUUCGUCAGCUUCGCCCUCCCAUACGAUCAAAUUGGGGACAUCAAUGUCGCCCGCUGCAUGCCCUAGGUCAGCAUGAAUGCGGUGCUCGUGUUCGAUAAAAAGCACGAGAGAGCGGUGGUUUUUUUGGUGGGACAGGGCAGUCAGACAAGGGUGUGGCUGACCACAAAGCCCCCGCCCCCUGUUCUUAUUGUUUCUGCAAAGGGCGCCUACGGGCGCGCUAGUUGCGCUCCGCCCAUUUCCAUUUUUUUCUUCUAUUUUAAACGUUCAAAAAAAUAAUGCAACACCAGACUUCAAACUCGCGACCAGCUUCUUCGAAGAAAACGACGGUAACCCUAGGCCAUCGAAGGAUUAGUGCUUUCUAAGGUUUUUUUCCUUUAUUUUAUUUCUCUCUUCAAUCGCGAGAAUCCACCGGUAUUGGAAAGCUUACACAAGCUUUCCGAACCAGCUUUUUAUCGAUUCGCUGGUCAUUUCGGGGGUGGUUUUAUUCCAGUUUUAUUUUUAUUUAUUUUUUAAACAAAUCAUGUUUUAAAAAAACUAUGAAUGUUUUUCAAAUUCGAUGAAUUUUUUUUCAAAUUUGAUGAACUUUUAAAUUCAGAUGAUUUGGGCGGUCUUUGGCGCUGACUAGGAGCUCCUAGGGACCUUUGUGAAAAAAGAAGGGUCGACAAGAAAGAACGGGGAUAAUAUGGCCCAUCAGCCCAAUAUAACCCAAAAAAUAAAGUGUUAUUUUUCAUAAAUCCUUCUUGCACUUUAUUUUUUAGAGUAGACGUAGAAACUUUGAAGCUGGUAGUUUAGCAAAGCUUUCCUUACUAGAUCUUGGUAGACAUGUGUGGCUUGAUGUACCCCCACGAUUAUUGUUGAAUAAAGAGGAACUAGGUUUACUCAACGCGCGGAUUACCGAUCAAACAGGGCGUUGUAGGCGUCUCAUCCAGGAGCUGGCGCACACCGCGGCUUGGUAUGGGCCGACCCAGUUACACGAGUUGGGUGGUCGCCCGCUCGCUGUACGCUCGUUUUACGGUUGUCUGGUCAACGGUUCACUUCGCUAAAAAGAAAAGGUCAACGGUUCACCAUUUGAACCAAGAAAAACCAUGAUUUUAGUUCGCAAAAAUAAAAAAAAGUUAUGAAUUCAAAAUGUUCACAGAUUAUGAAAAGUUCAUCAAAUUUGAAAAAAUAAAUGUUUUGAAAAAGUUCACCGAGUUUCAAUAAAUCAUAGAAUUUGGAAAAAAAUCAUCAAUUUGAAAAAACUUUAUUGAAUUUGAAAAAAAUCAUCAAAUUUGGGAAAAAGUUCACCGAAUUUGAAAAUAAGUUCAUCAAUUUUGGAAAAAGUUCAUUGAAUUUGAAAAAAAUCGACUCUGGAAAAGGUUCAUUGAUUUUGAAAAAAGUGCACCGAAUUUGAAAAAAAGUUCAGCAAAUUUUUAAAAAAUCAUUGAUUUUUUUUGAAAAGUUCAUCACUUUGUCUGCAGAAAAAAAAAAC